RNAcentral lists this long non-coding RNA (826 nucleotides) under Chinchilla lanigera (long-tailed chinchilla). Its description in RNAcentral is "lncRNA (ENSCLAG00000023063.1)". Lineage: Eukaryota; Metazoa; Chordata; Mammalia; Rodentia; Chinchillidae. The record is from RNAcentral.
CGGAGCCUGCGGGAGGCAGGGCGGGGGCCCGUGGCGCGGCCCGCGGGACGGUGGGUGGAGUUGGGCGACCGGGGAAGGGGAGGACCCGACAGGCCAGGUGACAGCAGAGGCAGGAUUGAUUUCACAAAACCUCCAGUUUAAGAAGACGAUCAUGAGCCCAUUCAGGAGGAGCUCAGGGCUUCAAAGGUGUCUGUCGCUCUGUGCCCUGGGAAUGUUGCAGUGGGCUUUUUAGCAUGCCUAAGAAGUCAAGGCUGGAGCGCAGCCCCUUCCUGACAGAGCUCCCUCCUGUGAAAGGUAACAAAAGCCUGGCUGGUGGGAAAACAGAAUGUGUUCUACCUAGGGACUCACAAAGAACCCUGCUUCCAGUGUGCUUGUGUGUGCGCUGAGAGUCAAGGAUGUGUUUCUGCACUUUCUCUUCAGCCUCACCUUCCUGCAGUUCUAAGAAGCAAAUCUGUGAAUUGGCCAGGAUUUUAUGAAUAAGGAAUGUGACAGGCCUUGGAGGUGGUGCCCCAGGCCUAAUUACGCUCUUGUCUUGCCUGACACUUCUGUUUUCAUUUGCUGGCGCUUAGUGCUCCCUUUCAUUGCCUCUGUGAUUUUAUUUUCUUCUUGUCAAGUGGCAUAAAGGGCUUCUUAGUCUUGUAGUUUCAUGGAAACUUGCCUGGCUUGCCUGGGUGGAAGGAGACCAAGAUUCCGAUUCAGCCGUGAUUUGGAGGCUCCGACCCUUUGGGAGGAAAACAGAGGCAAGCUGCCAGUUCAGCCAAAGAAGCAUAGAGGGAAGCCAUUCUUUCCUUCCCUAUAUUCAUAUUAUACAAGAUGCCUCCUCUGA